GUGUUGUGUGAGAGACUGCACUCCCCUUCACAAGAUGGAAGAGGCUUCAGCCUGCAACACACAUAAGUUUAAGGCACUGCCACCUACUUCAUAGCAUCUAACCAACAUUUUUA
RNAcentral lists this non-coding RNA (113 nucleotides) under Sorex araneus (European shrew). The record is from RNAcentral. Lineage: Eukaryota; Metazoa; Chordata; Mammalia; Eulipotyphla; Soricidae.